RNAcentral lists this transfer RNA (73 nucleotides) under Planctomycetota bacterium. Its description in RNAcentral is "tRNA-Asn". It matches the Rfam family "tRNA". From Rfam's summary of the family: Transfer RNA (tRNA) molecules are approximately 80 nucleotides in length. The record is from RNAcentral. Lineage: Bacteria; Pseudomonadati; Planctomycetota.
UCCCCGAUAGCUCAGUCGGUAGAGCGGGUGACUGUUAAUCACUAGGUCGUAGGUUCAAGUCCUACUCGGGGAG